AGAGAUUUGUCCGCUCUUGUAGAGAGCAGUAUCAUAAGGCAUUUAACUGCGUCACGGCUGAUAUGAAUAGCAGGCUGUGGACUGAGGAACAAUGGAUCAGUGCCAUGACCGAAGGAUCACAGCAGUCUGUAAUAGAACUAUGGUAUGUGUCUAUAAACCAGGCUGUUCCACUAUAAACCAGUCUGUUCCACUAUAAACAAGUCUGUUCCACUAUAAACCAGGUUGUUCCUCUAUAAACCAGGCUGUUCCUCUAUAAACCAGGCUGUUCCUCUAUAAACCAGGCUGUUCUAAAUGUGUCUGUUCCACUAUAAACCAGGCUGUUCCUCUAUAAACCAGGCUGUUCCACUAUAAACCAGGCUGUUCCACUAUAAACCAGGCUGUUCUAAAUGUGUGUUCCUCUAUAAACCAGACUGUUCUAAAUGUGUCUGUUCCUCUAUAAACCAGGCUGUUCUAAAUGUGUCUGUUCCUCUAUAAACCAGGCUGUUCCUCUAUAAACCAGGCUGUUCUAAAUGUGUCUGUUCCUCUAUAAACCAGGCUGUUCCAAAUGUGUCUGUUCCUCUAUAAACCAGACUGUUCUAAAUGUGUCUGUUCCACUAUAAACCAGGCUGUUCAUCUAUAAACCAGGCUGUUCCACUAUAAACCAGGCUGUUCCACUAUAAACCAGGCUGUUCUAAAUGUGUGUUCCUCUAUAAACCAGACUGUUCUAAAUGUGUCUGUUCCUCUAUAAACCAGGCUGUUCUAAAUGUGUCUGUUCCUCUAUAAAUCCGGCUGUUCCUCUAUAAACCAGACUGUUCUAAAUGUGUCUGUUCCUCUAUAAACCAAACUGUUCCUCUAUAAACCAGGCUGUUCCUCUAUAAACCAGGCUGUUCCUCUAUAAACCAGGCUGUUCUUCUAUAAACCAGUCUGUUCUAAAUGUGUCUGUUCCUCUAUAAACCAGACUGUUCUAAAUGUGUCUGUUCCUCUAUAAACCAGGCUGUUCCACUAUAAACCAGGCUGUUCCUCUAUAAACCAGGCUGUUCCUCUAUAAACCAGGCUGUUCCUCUAUAAACCAGGCUGUUCCACUAUAAACCAGGCUGUUCCUCUAUAAACCAGGCUGUUCUAAAUGUGUGUUCCUCUAUAAACCAGGCUGUUCUAAAUGUGUCUGUUCCUCUAUAAACCAGGCUGUUCCAAAUGUGUCUGUUCCUCUAUAAACCAGACUGUUCUAAAUGUGUCUGUUCCUCUAUAAACCAGGCUGUUAUUAAAUGUGUCUGUUCCUCUAUAAACCAGGCUGUUCUAAAUGUGUCUGUUCCUCUAUAAACCAGGCUGUUAUUAAAUGUGUCUGUUCCUCUAUAAACCAGACUGUUCUAAAUGUGUCUGUGCCUCUAUAAACCAGGCUGUACCUCUAUAAACCAGACUGUUCUAAAUGUGUCUGUUCCUCUAUAAACCAGGCUGUUCCUCUAUAAACCAGGCUGUUCUAAAUGUGUCGGUUCCUCUAUAAACCAGGCUGUUCCUC
RNAcentral lists this long non-coding RNA (1492 nucleotides) under Salmo salar (Atlantic salmon). RNAcentral's name for it is "lncRNA (ENSSSAG00000096945.1)". The record is from RNAcentral. Lineage: Eukaryota; Metazoa; Chordata; Actinopteri; Salmoniformes; Salmonidae.